AACAGGAUACUAAAGCUAUUUUUUUCUGGAAAUUAAUUUUUUAUCUUUUUCAGUAUGCCCUUUACACUGUGCUGAACAUUCCAUUCAAUUUCACUUCUGUGAGCCUUUCUAUUUCUUCCUUAGAAGGUUGCUAUAAAGUUUAUUGUAUUGUAUCUAACAAUGCAAAUUAAAUACUAAUCCUGUGACAUUACAAUUUUUGUUAGCUUGACAUGCCUGCAAUCAGGGAGUGGUGGUGUCUACGUCUAAUUGAGUGGUUUGAGACAGAAGGGUAUGUGUAUUCGUUUCUUUACAUCUCAGUUUGGCGUUUCAUUCUUUGUUCCUUCCUUGUCAGUAGGAGCAAAUUGAUGUUAUUUACACUCACCUGACUUCAAUUCUGGACAGCAUACCCACACACACCCACAGUGACCAGAUUUGAUUCAUUAUGGAUGUCCCUUUUCCAGAGUCCAUCAUCUGUGCUCUUGCUGUUGUGGAACAUGUGUCCAUCUUGGAGGCUGAGGAGAAAUUCCUGGGGGGACCUGUCAUUGACACAAAAUACUUGAGCGGGAGCACUUUGACAGCAGGAUAAAAAAAACAGUAAAAGAAGAGUGGAAAACCAUAGGAGAGUGAUGGUGUUAAUAAAAAAAUUGUGAACCACAA
Non-coding RNA from Misgurnus anguillicaudatus (oriental weatherfish), 636 nucleotides. Lineage: Eukaryota; Metazoa; Chordata; Actinopteri; Cypriniformes; Cobitidae. The record is from RefSeq and is a predicted model, not a curated record.